CUCUGCCCUAUUUAAGGCUCCUCUUGGUGGCCUGCCUCAGUUUGCAAGAGGAUAGGAGACAGAGCGUGGUCUGCUGUGGGCCCAGUUGUAAGGAAUUACAGACAACAGAGAAGCAGUGUGGUCUAGUGGAGAGAACCUGGACCUGGGUUCUAAUCCCAGAUCUGCCAUGUGUUUACCACCUCACCUUGGUGCUCUGGGCUCUCCGUCGCACACAGUGAGCCCCCUUAAGGGUGGACCACCACAACCUGGGAACCAUCGGAUACGCCGAACCCCCAGAGGGCAGGGUCACUGAGGGCAGGGUGGCAGGCCAUGAUCUGUGGCUGUCGGCCUCCUCCCCACCCGCCGCUACAGAGGGCAAGGCUACCACAACCGUGGAGCGGUCUGAAGCAUGAGCCCAUCCAGGGCAGAGCCACCAUGACUUUGUGUCUGGGUGACACGGGGAGCCGCCCGAGGACAGGGCCACUGCAACAUUGGACCCGCCAGAUACUGAGUCCCCUCUCCAUCCUGCCCCGAGGGCAGGGCCACAAAAAAGCUCUGCCCGUGUGACACUGAGCACAUCCAGACCAGAGCCGCCGUAACGUUGUCGAUAGUAUUUACUGAGCACUUUAUAUGUGCAGGACACUGAACUAAGCAUGUGGGAGGGUACAGUACAAUGAAUCUAUGGUAGUUAUUGCACAUAUGCUGUGAGCAGAGUACUUGUAAAUUCCUGAAGUGCAGUGAUGGUGUGUGUUGUUUGUGCUGAAUCCUCCCAAGAGUUCAGCACAUAACUGCACUUAUUAAAUGCUCUUAAUGUCAAA
Long non-coding RNA from Ornithorhynchus anatinus (platypus), 797 nucleotides. RefSeq lists it as uncharacterized. NCBI's taxonomy places the organism in Eukaryota, Metazoa, Chordata, Mammalia, Monotremata, Ornithorhynchidae. The record is from RefSeq and is a predicted model, not a curated record. The transcript has 3 exons.